Molecule: ribosomal RNA, 159 nt
Filed under: uncultured Bdellovibrio sp.
Lineage: Bacteria; Pseudomonadati; Bdellovibrionota; Bdellovibrionia; Bdellovibrionales; Pseudobdellovibrionaceae
Description: partial 16S ribosomal RNA
Rfam family: Bacterial small subunit ribosomal RNA
Source: RNAcentral
AGGGAAUAUUGCGCAAUGGGGGAAACCCUGACGCAGCAACGCCGCGUGAGUGAGGAAGGUCUUCGGAUUGUAAAACUCUUUUAUUAGGGAAAAAUGGUUACAGAGCUAAUACCCUGUGACUUGAUGGUACCUAAAGAAUAAGCACCGGCUAACUUCGUG